UACGAGGGGAGCUAGCGUUAUCCGGAAUGAUUGGGCGUAAAGCGUUUGUAGGUGGCUUAUAAAGUCUACUGUCAAAUAUCGAGGCUUAACCUCGAACCGGCAGUGGAGUAUUCAUAAGCUUGAGUGUGGUAGAGGUAGAGGGAAUUCCAUGUGGAGCGGUGAAAUGCGUAGAGAUAUGGAAGAACACCAGCGGCGAAGGCGCUCUACUGGGCCAAGACUGACACUGAGAAACGAAAGCUGGGGGAGCGAAAAGG
RNAcentral lists this ribosomal RNA (254 nucleotides) under uncultured bacterium. RNAcentral's name for it is "partial 16S ribosomal RNA". It matches the Rfam family "Bacterial small subunit ribosomal RNA", at positions 524 to 776 of the family's 1533-position model. The record is from RNAcentral.